GAUGAACGCUGGCGGCGUGCCUAAUACAUGCAAGUCGAGCGAACAGACGAGGAGCUUGCUCCUCUGACGUUAGCGGCGGACGGGUGAGUAACACGUGGAUAACCUACCUAUAAGACUGGGGUAACUUCGGGAAACCGGAGCUAAUACCGGAUAAUAUAUUGAACCGCAUGGUUCAAUAGUGAAAGACGGUUUUGCUGUCACUUAUAGAUGGAUCCGCGCCGCAUUAGCUAGUUGGUAAGGUAACGGCUUACCAAGGCAACGAUGCGUAGCCGACCUGAGAGGGUGAUCGGCCACACUGGAACUGAGACACGGUCCAGACUCCUAUGGGAGGCAGCAGUAGGGAAUCUUCCGCAAUGGGCGAAAGCCUGACGGAGCAACGCCGCGUGAGUGAUGAAGGUCUUCGGAUCGUAAAACUCUGUUAUUAGGGAAGAACAAAUGUGUAAGUAACUAUGCACGUCUUGACGGUACCUAAUCAGAAAGCCACGGCUAACUACGUG
RNAcentral lists this ribosomal RNA (497 nucleotides) under uncultured bacterium. RNAcentral describes it as "partial 16S ribosomal RNA". It matches the Rfam family "Bacterial small subunit ribosomal RNA", at positions 28 to 507 of the family's 1533-position model. The record is from RNAcentral.